Molecule: long non-coding RNA, 5287 nt
Organism: Herpailurus yagouaroundi (jaguarundi)
Lineage: Eukaryota; Metazoa; Chordata; Mammalia; Carnivora; Felidae
Exons: 4
Source: RefSeq, a predicted model, not a curated record
AUAUAAACAAACAAACAAACAAAAAACUGCAAGACUUUUGAGUCAGGCUGGUGGUAUUCUAACUGGUUUGGCAAGGUCUCCUCUAUGUGUCUUAACAACUAUCAGAAAUAACGCAUAACCACAAGAGUGCCUCCUGGAAUGCCUUGAUUUCAUGCAUCGUAAUAAAAUGAAUCACAUACGCUUAAGGAAAGGAUUUAAAAAAUGUAAAGCAAGCAGUACAAGCCCAAAUGACGCUGCUACCAUUGAGCAGUGCUGAAUACGCAAUUACAUGCUGAACAAUAGGUAUUAACAAAUCAGGCCGAAUGCUCGUGAGAAAACGGUCCUCUAAUUAAAUAAAAGGAGAAUCCGAGUUUCUUGUUGCAGGGAUUGUUGGUGGGAUUAAAGGAUUGUUCUGGAGCCCAGUGCACAGAAUGAGAGACCUGGCGGCCUGCCUCAGAGCUCUGCAGCUCCCACCUGCUGAGACGCCCCAAGCCCUGAGACCAACUUGGUUUCACUAAGUGGGAGGAUUAAGACAGAUCUUGACCAUCGCUCCCCCUUUGGUCAGCAAAGAAAAAGAAAAAGAAAAUGAGGAAAACAGCUCAUUUUUCACUUGUCAUUUCACAGAAUGAGUGUAAGACCCAGGUCUCAUGCCCAGUGUUUGCCUCUUCUUGGUGACAUCCCCAGAAAGGAGGAGCCUGACUUCCUUGAAGACCGCUGCUCAAAACCUCUCAAAACAUUUUAUUUCAUGUUUACAUUUUCUGGGAUAUCAAUACUAUAUUCAGAAUACACUUAUUUCCUCUACCUUUAACUCUUUCACUUUAUAAUUCACCCCCAGGCAAUUCAUUUCAAGUUUGCUCUAUUCUAUGUAGGAGCUCUUUAUACUGAAAACAGUUACUCUGUCUCAUAAAAUCUCUCUUCUUCAGGUUGAAGCCAUUCAACUUUUUCAGCCAUUCUUCCCGAGGCACUAUUUUAAGUCUUUCCACUAUUUUGGUAAUCUUCACUGAACAUUUUCCUGAUUGCCUGAAUCUUUUAGGACCUAGAACCAUAAAUGGAAUAAAUAUUAUAGAAAGGACCUGAUUAAUAUACAGUAAAAUUCAAUGAUCAAUUUCCACAUACAGGAUACUAAAUCUUUAUUAAUGUAGUCUAACCCUACAUUUGUUUUUCAGGCCUUCAUGCUGCUGUUACCUGUUAUACCCAGUCGCACAGGAAUUAAUUGCUUGUACUGUUUUAAAUUUGUACAUUAUUUAAAUUUUGCUUCAGACUAGCUCUGUUUUAUAUUUUGAGUCAUAUUUUUCCUCUGUUCUGCUUUCAUCAUCCGUUUUUAUUUUAUUUUACUUUGUUUUGUUUUAUUUUAUUUUGUUAUGGUAUUUUAUUUUAGUGUACUUAUUUUGCAAGCUCCCUCAAAGACUUUUGGAAAUGAAAUGGAGUAUAAACAAGUAAUACAUGAAACACUGUAGCCAAUCAUUCUUAUUUCUCAAAGUUACAGAGAGCAAUGUUAUUUUCUUCAAGCCGGCCUGGAUUAAAGGUUCACAUUUCAGUAUUCCUGUGGCAGCCUAUCAAUUCAUAUUUAUUUACAGAAAUGAGUCCCAUGGAGAUGUUUGCUAGUGAACAUGUUGUUUUUCUAACUUUCUGUGUGUGUAUAUACACUCAUAUGUGUGUUUAUAAAUAUAUAGAGGUCUAUACAUAUUAAAUGAACAUGCAUUCCUUGCAACGUUAUCUAAUCCAGAAUUCUCAAGGUUUUCAGCUGUCAGUUUCAUUGCUUUAGAAUAGAGUUUAUUGCCAUCUGCUCCUGUCCCAUUCUUCAACUCUGUAAUUAUGUUUUCAUGAGUUAAUUUUAUCCGAAAGCUCAAGAGCUCCAUUUUGCCUUAUAUCAAAUCAUCUGGUAAAUAACCAGGUCAAGCCCAGCACCAAGAACACUGGUAAAUUCUCUUCUGGAAUUUAGAUGGUGUCGGGCAGAGUCUGACCAGUCUAUAUCACUCCACUAGGAGUGAUAUAGAAUAAACUGUCUUUUUACAGAAAUUUAACCAUUCACAGUUAUGGGAGGAGGUUAAGAGGUUUAUGGGCAGCUGUUGUUUCUAACACUGCGGCUGGAGUCUGAAGCCAGCGAGGCGGGCAGUCAAGAAGGAAAGACAGACGUGAAGCAGGACAGGGGGAAAAAAAGACAAACAAAUGCAAGAGGAUGAGUUGGAAUCCCCAACGACAAACUGAAGGGCGCAGCAGCCUGUGUCUCGAGCCUCCAGCUUCAAUGAUGUGAACAACCCACCGGAGAAACCUGCGCUUCCUCGCGGUGCUAAGCACGCAUUGGCUUGGGAGCUGGGAAGCUAAAAGGGGCUGUGUUUGGGGACCUGAAGGGCCCAUGUGCCUGGCUUCUGCCCAAACCCACUUGUGUAUGUGCUGACCUUCAGAGCUUUAAAAGAAUAUGGUUUAUGCUUAAUUUCCAAAUGCCACUAUAUGUAUUUCUUGUGGCCCAUGCUAACAUGGAAUUAUGCAAUGGAAACAAUCCUGAUAAACACAGUUCCUGCUCAGUUCAAUGGACUCAGCAUCAAUGUGCCACAUAGAUUAUCCACCCAAGCCCAUUUCUCCCUAGAGACAGUCUGAAUUAAGAGUCUUAGAGUUUUGUCUUAUUUAUUUAUUUUUUCCCCAUCCUAAAUCCUUGUCAGGUGCUUGUGGCCCAAUUCCCAGCUGUGUCUUGGGGAGGACAGGCAUGGUGGCUUCUUCCUGAGCACCGCAGUCCCAAGUUCAGAAAGAGAUCAUGUUGUGGAGGAUGGGAGAAAGCCCUGGCGGGAUCACAGCCUUUCCCAGAUUGGGUUGUUUCUGCCCCCCUUGUGGUUGGGGCUGCCGCCUGUUUCUCAUGGCAGUUCCCAAGUAAACAGCCCUUACUUCCUGGCUUUCUCUACUCAGGGUGGCAGGGGGAUGUGUCCACCUCUGCAGCAGCCUUCCUGUGUUGACAACACUGUUUGUUCUUCCCGUCUCCCCAGGGAGAAGCUGCCUUAUCUUUUCUGUGCAACAUAUUUGGGAAAAACACAUUUUUCUCUCUUAAAGGAAUUGAUUAUUGUUUCUUAAGACUAAAAAGAAAAGCCUUUCUGGAUCCAAACACUGACUUAAAAAGAUAACCUAAAUUCCACUUACAGAGCAAGAGAAAAAUUUGUACUAGUGGUGACUGGUGGUACAUUUUGGAUCAUUCUGUGCACUUAAAAUAUACUGUGUGUGUGUGUGUGUGUGUGUGUGUGUGUGUGUGUGUGUGAGAGAGAGAGAGAGAGAGAGAGAGAGAGAGAGAGAGGGAAAAUUUGAAAUAUUUUUCAAACACCAGACCUACAGUUUUUGGUUUAAAUAAACUGGGAAUUUGUAGGUGUUCGUUGAGGUGUUUGUAACGAUAACCUUUGUGAGACAGAAGUUUAAAAUAUAUAUUUAAUAUAAACAUAUGUUAAAAUAUGUACAUUUGCAAUUACAAGAAAAUUCAUCACUACCUUUGUGUUUCAACUGUUUUUUUUUUUUCAGGUGGAUUCCCAUCUUUCAUUUAUUUCAGAGAGCUACAGGAAUUUCCUCUCUGCAAUAGGAUUCUAUGUGCAGGACUAUUGUAGCAUGGGAGUCACGUGGAGCUGUGAUGAUGGCACCAAGAAAAACCUGGAGUUAAAAAAACUUACCUGGAUCUAUUGAACUACACUGCCACCUGCUAGGCUGUGACAUUGGGAAAAAUACUCAACCUCUCUGGUGUCGAUUUCAUCAUGAUAAACUGGGAAUAAUGGUCAAUCUAAUGUCAUGAAGUUGUUGGGAGAAUUCACUGAUUCGAAUUAUAUAGGGCAAUUAGCUACUGUAACACCUGCCCCAUUGGAACUGCUUAGUACGGGACAAGAAUUACUGUUACUACUUUCAAGAGACCAAAUGAAUAUUUUCUUCCUUAAUAAAAUGGUAACCUCUAAGCUAUCCAGAGGUUUUAGUCAGGGAAGAGAUAUGUGUUAUGUCAUUUGUAAUUUUUUAUCACAAUAUCAUUACCUGUCUAUUUAAGUAUUCAGCAUAUAAUAUGUAUAUGUAUAUAUAUAUGUAUAUGUAUAUGUAUAUGUAUAUGUAUAUGUAUAUGUAUACUUAUGUGCACCUGUAUAUGUAUGUGUGUGUACUGUUAUGGCUGCAAUGCUUGUACCCCCCAACCCCAAAUUCAAUUCUUUGAGGAAAUCCUAACCCCAAAGAUGAUGAUAUUUGUAGGCAAAACCUGUUGGGUGAUUAGGUCAUGAGUGGGGAACCCUCACAAAUGGGAUUAGUGCUAAAGAGACCCCACAGAGUUCCCUAGCCUCUUGAAUCUUCCAGGAUACUACAAGAAGUCUACAACACAGAAGCUGGCUUUUUGACCUCCGACUUCCAGCCUCCAAAACUGUGAGCAAUACAGUUGUUGUUUAUAAACUGCCCUGUCUGUGGUAUUGUUAUAUACAUCGCAUGUUUCUAUAGCAGCCUGAAUGGACUCACAUAUAUGCAUAUGUGGAUAGGUACUUAGGUAGGUAGGUAGCUAGCUAGUCAGACAGGUAGAUAGAUAUCCACGUAACUAACACUCCGAUCAAGAUAUGGAAUAUUGCCAUCACCCCAAAAUGUCCCUGUCUAUUUCUUUCCAGUCUGUCAUCCUCUCCUCUGGAGUCAAACCCUAUUCUGACUUUUAUCCCUGUGAACCAGUUUGUCUGUUCUUUAACUUCCACAUAGAUGGACUCAUACAGAAAACACUUUUUGCUUUUGGCUUUUUUAGUUCUAUGUAGUGUUUUUGAGAUUCGUCCAUGUUGUUGCGGGCAUUAGUCAUCUGGUUUUUUUCAUUCCUGGACUAUUCCAUUGUGUGAAUAUAACACGUUGUCUCUUGUUCAUGGGCAUUUGUGUUAUUUCCAGUGUUGUUUGUAAUUUGAAGUGCUUCAGUUGAGAUGGCAUGGUAUAUAUACUUUUGCAUUAGAUGACUUUAUUCUACAUCUUAGGAUAUGUCACAUUUUGUAGGCAUUUCCAAGCUUAAAUGAAUAGGGUAUAAGAAUACAUUAAACCUAGAUUGUAUGCUUCAGAAUGGAACUUUAGAUUCUAAAGGAAAGAUAGAUGAUAGAUAGAUAGAUAGAUAGAUAGAUAGACAGAGGUGUAGAUAGAUUCCAAAAUAGCCCAUUUACAGUUGUAGAUUCCUAGGUUUUUUGUUUGCCUGACUCCUGCCAGUGAAAUAUUGUUGCAUUUAUCCUUAGGGGAUCUUGCUGUCAGAGCACUUAGGACAGCCGGCUGACACUUUUUGAGUUUACUCAUUAGUUUAUAAACUGUUACACCUGUUUGAUAAGAAAUGCUUAUAUGUGUGAAAGAA